RNAcentral lists this ribosomal RNA (441 nucleotides) under uncultured bacterium. RNAcentral describes it as "partial 16S ribosomal RNA". It matches the Rfam family "Bacterial small subunit ribosomal RNA", at positions 338 to 795 of the family's 1533-position model. The record is from RNAcentral.
CCUACGGGCGGCAGCAGUGGGGAAUAUUGCACAAUGGGGGAAACCCUGAUGCAGCGACGCCGCGUGAGUGAAGAAGUAUUUCGGUAUGUAAAGCUCUAUCAGCAGGGAAGAAGAAAGACGGUACCUGACUAAGAAGCCCCGGCUAACUACGUGCCAGCAGCCGCGGUAAUACGUAGGGGGCAAGCGUUAUCCGGAUUUACUGGGGUUAAAGGGAGAGUAGACGGCUGUGAAAGUCUGAAGUGAAAGCCCAGGGCUGAACCCUGGGACUGCUUUGGAAACGGUGGAGCUAGAGGGCCUGAGAGGGAAGGGGAAUUUCUAGGGGUGCGGGGAAAGGCGGAGAUAAUAGGAGGAACACCAGGGGCGAAGGCGGGUUACCGGACAGUAACUGACGUUGAGGCUUGAAAGCGGUGGGAGCAAACAGGAUUAGAUACCCCUGUAGUC